UGUGGGAGCGGGCUUGCUCGCGAAGGCGGUAUGUCAGUCAGAACAUCUGUUACUGAUACACCGCCUUCGCGGGCAAGCCCGCUCCCACA
RNAcentral lists this non-coding RNA (89 nucleotides) under Pseudomonas lurida. Lineage: Bacteria; Pseudomonadati; Pseudomonadota; Gammaproteobacteria; Pseudomonadales; Pseudomonadaceae. The record is from RNAcentral.